RNAcentral lists this ribosomal RNA (802 nucleotides) under uncultured archaeon. Its description in RNAcentral is "bacterial SSU rRNA". It matches the Rfam family "Archaeal small subunit ribosomal RNA", at positions 1 to 782 of the family's 1478-position model. The record is from RNAcentral.
GGGAAUUCGAUUUUCCGGUUGAUCCUGCCGGAGGUCACUGCUAUUGGGGUCCGGCUAAGCCAUGCGAGCGGAGGGCGCGGUCGAAAGAUCGUGGCCCCGCACACGGCUCAGUAACACGUAGUCAACCUACCCUUGGGACGGGAACAACCUCGGGAAACUGAGGCUAAUUCCCGAUAGGCGAGGGACGCUGGGAUGCUUCCUCGCCCAAAGCUCCGGCGCCCAGGGAUGGGACUGCGGUCUAUCAGGCUGUUGGUGGUGUAACGGACCACCAAACCUACGACGGGUACAGGCGAUGGGAGUCGGAGCCUGGAGAUGGGGACUGAGACAAGGCCCCAGGCCCUACGGGGCGCAGCAGGCGCGAAAACUCCGCAAUGCGCGUAAGCGUGACGGGGGGACCCCAAGUGCCGUUGGUCUUUUGAUCGACGGCUUUUAGGAAGUCUAUGAAGCUUCCAGAAUAAGGGCUGGGUAAGACUGGUGCCAGCCGCCGCGGUAACACCAGCAGCCCAAGUGGUGACCACGAUUAUUGGGCCUAAAGCGCUCGUAGCCGGGUCAGCAAGUCCCUUGUGAAAUCGGGCCGCCUAACGGUUCGGCGUGCAAGGGAUACUGUUGGUCUUGAGGCCGGGAGAGGUCGGAGGUACUCCUGGGGUAGCGGUGAAAUGCUCUAAUCCUAGGGGGACCACCAGUGGCGAAGGCGUCCGACCAGAACGGACCUGACGGUGAGGGGCGAAGGCUAGGGGAGCGAACGGGAUUAGAUACCCCGGUAGUCCUAGCUGUAAAGCAUGCGGGCCAGGUGUCUAGCGCU